AGAACGAACGCUGGCGGCAUGCCUAAUACAUGCAAGUCGAACGAACUCUUCGGAGUUAGUGGCGCACGGGUGCGUAACGCGUGGGAAUCUGCCCUUGGGUUCGGAAUAACAGUUGGAAACGACUGCUAAUACCGGAUGAUGACGAAAGUCCAAAGAUUUAUCGCCCAGGGAUGAGCCCGCGUAGGAUUAGCUAGUUGGUGAGGUAAAGGCUCACCAAGGCGACGAUCCUUAGCUGGUCUGAGAGGAUGAUCAGCCACACUGGGACUGAGACACGGCCCAGACUCCUACGGGAGGCAGCAGGUAGGGAAUACGUGGACAAUGGGCAAAGCCUGAUCCAGCAAGUGCCGCGUGAGUGGACGUGAAGGCCGUUAGGGUUAGUAAAGUCUUACUUUUACCCGAGUAUGAAUAA
Molecule: ribosomal RNA, 409 nt
Filed under: uncultured soil bacterium
Lineage: Bacteria
Description: bacterial SSU rRNA
Rfam family: Bacterial small subunit ribosomal RNA
Source: RNAcentral